UACCAGACUCCUACGGGAGGCAGCAGUGGGGAAUAUUGCACAAUGGGCGCAAGCCUGAUGCAGCCAUGCCGCGUGUAUGAAGAAGGCCUUCGGGUUGUAAAGUACUUUCAGCGGGGAGGAAGGCGAUAAGGUUAAUAACCUUGUCGAUUGACGUUACCCGCAGAAGAAGCACCGGCUAACUCCGUGCCAGCAGCCGCGGUAAUACGGAGGGUGCAAGCGUUAAUCGGAAUUACUGGGCGUAAAGCGCACGCAGGCGGUCUGUCAAGUCGGAUGUGGAAUCCCCGGGCUCAACCUGGGAACUUCAUUCGAAACUGGCAGGCUGGAGUCUUGGAGAGGGGAGUAGAAUUCCAGGUGUAGCGGGGAAAUGCGUAGAGAUCUGGAGGAAUACCGGUGGCGGAGGCGGCCCCCUGGACAAAGACUGACGCUCAGGUGCGAAAGCGUGGGGAGCAAACAGGAUUAGAUACCCGCGUAC
RNAcentral lists this ribosomal RNA (472 nucleotides) under uncultured bacterium. RNAcentral describes it as "bacterial SSU rRNA". It matches the Rfam family "Bacterial small subunit ribosomal RNA", at positions 329 to 793 of the family's 1533-position model. The record is from RNAcentral.